UUAAGUAAGGAAGGGCGUACGGCGAAUGCCUUGCCACUCGAAACUGAAGAAGGACGCGCCAAACUGCGAAAAGCUCCGUGAAGCUGUAAGGAAGCGAAGAAGCGGAGGUGUCCGAAUGGGGGAACCCGGCAGCAGACAUGAGCUGUCAUCUGCAGGUGAAUACAUGGCCUGCAAGAGAGGUACCCGGCGAACUGAAACAUCUAAGUAGCCGGAGGAAAAGAAAACAACAGUGAUUCCCUGAGUAGCGGCGAGCGAAAGGGGAGAAGCCCAAACCGGUUGAAGGACCGGGGUUGAAGGACCAUGACAUGGCAAGAACGAGGAUAGGAGAACGGGAUCGAAAGCCCGGCCGAAGAAGGUGAAAGCCCUGUAACCGAAAUCCGAGUAAAGCCUAAUGGGAUCCUGAGUACGGCGAGACACGAGGAAUCUUGUCGGAAGCAGGCGGGACCAUCCGCCAAGGCUAAAUAUAAACGAGUGAGCGAUAGUGAACCAGUACCGUGAGGGAAAGGUGAAAAGAACCGCGGGAGCGGAGUGAAAGAGAACCUGAAACCGUAUGCCUACAAGAAGUCAGAGCCCGUUAAGGGGUGAUGGCGUGCCUUUUGUAGAAUGAACCGGCGAGUUGCGACAGACUGCGAGGUUAAGGAGGAAAGACCGGAGCCGAAGCGAAAGCGAGUCUUAAGAGGGCGAAAGUAGGAUGUUGCAGACCCGAAACCGGGUGAUCUAGCCAUGAGCAGGUUGAAGUUGAGGUGAAACUCAAUGGAGGACCGAACCGACUACCGUUGAAAAGUUAGCGGAUGACUUGUGGCUAGGGGAGAAAUUCCAAUCGAACCCGGAGAUAGCUGGUUCUCCCCGAAAUAGCUUUAGGGCUAGCGUCGGAAAGAACCUUAGUGAAGGUAGAGCACUGAAUGUGUGAUGGCCCCAUCCCGGGGUACUGAAUACAAUCAAACUGCGAAUGUCAUUAAGGAUGUCCGGCAGUCAGACUGUGAGUGAUAAGGUCCAUGGUCAAGAGGGAAACAGCCCAGACCGCCAGUUAAGGUCCCAAAAUACAGGCUAAGUGGAAAAGGAUGUGGGGAUGCCCAGACAACUAGGAGGUUGGCUCAGAAGCAGCCAUCCUUUAAAGAGUGCGUAACAGCUCACUAGUCGAGUGACCCUGCGCCGAAAAUGUACCGGGGCUAAGCCUGAUACCGAAACUGCGGAUUGUAGGAAACUAUAGUGGUAGGGGAGCGUUGUAUACGAGCAGAAGCCGUACCGUGAGGAGCGGUGGAUUGUAUAGAAGUGAGAAUGCCGGUGUGAGUAGCGAGAUGUAGGUGAGAAUCCUACACACCGAAAGCCCAAGGAUUCCAGGGGAAGGUUCGUCCGCCCUGGGUAAGUCGGGACCUAACGCGAGGCCGAAAGGCGUAGUGGAUGGAAAGCAGGCGAAAGAUUCCUGCACCCGUAUAUGGAGCGAAGGAGUGACGGAGACGGAUAGUGUGACCCUCUUAAUGGAUUGAGGGCGAAGCGAAGCGGCUGGUUACCAGGCAAAUCCGGUAACCAAAAGGCUAGAGCGUGACAGGUAAGCGAAAUCUUCGGAAAGUAGCGAAGCACAUGAUGACGGCUUCCAGGAAAAGCUUCUGGCAAUGCAUAUGCGGCCCGUACCAAAACCGACACAGGUGGGCAGGGAGAGAAUCCCGAGGUGAGCGAGAGAACUGUUGCCAAGGAACUCGGCAAAAUGACUCCGUAAGUUAGCGAGAAGGAGUGCUUAAGCAAUUAAGCCGCAGUGAAGAGGCCCAAGCGACUGUUUAACUAAAACACAGCUCUCUGCGAAGUCGCAAGACGAAGUAUAGGGGGUGACACCUGCCCGGUGCUGGAAGGUUAAGAGGAUCUGUUAAGAGCGAUCUGAAGCAGUGAUCCGAAGCCCCAGUGAACGGCGGCCGUAACUAUAACGGUCCUAAGGUAGCGAAAUUCCUUGUCAGGUAAGUUCUGACCCGCACGAAAGGUGUAACGAUUUGGGCGCUGUCUCGGCAGCAGACUCGGUGAAAUCUUAGUACCUGUGAAAAUGCAGGUUACCCGCAACUAGACGGAAAGACCCCAUGGAGCUUUACUGCAGCCUGAUAUUGAAUUCUGGUCAUACAUGUACAGGAUAGGUGGGAGACAAAGAGACGUGCACGCCAGUGUACGAGGAGUCGACGUUGGGAUACCACUCUUGUGUGACCGGGGUUCUAACCUGGUAUCGAGAACAGGUACGGGGAGAGUGUCAGGUGGGCAGUUUGACUGGGGCGGUCGCCUCCCAAAGAGUAACGGAGGCGCCCAAAGGUACGCUCAGAUUGGAUGGAAACCAAUCGACGAGUGCAAUUGCAGAAGCGUGCUUGACUGUGAGACAGACAAGUCGAACAGGGACGAAAGUCGGGAAUAGUGAUCCGGCGGUGCCGAAUGGAAGGGCCGUCGCUCAACGGAUAAAAGCUACCCUGGGGAUAACAGGCUGAUCUCCCCCAAGAGUCCACAUCGACGGGGAGGUUUGGCACCUCGAUGUCGGCUCAUCGCAUCCUGGGGCUGUAGUCGGUCCCAAGGGUUGGGCUGUUCGCCCAUUAAAGCGGUACGCGAGCUGGGUUCAGAACGUCGUGAGACAGUUCGGUCCCUAUCUGUUGUGGGC
This 2626-nucleotide ribosomal RNA is filed under the name human gut metagenome. RNAcentral's name for it is "bacterial LSU rRNA". It matches the Rfam family "Bacterial large subunit ribosomal RNA". The record is from RNAcentral.